GGCAGAUAAUGAUAAGCAGUCAACAGAAAGGCAAUGAGGAUUUAUUAUUUACUCGGGAAUAAAUCAGCAGUGUGGAAAUAUUUUUAAUUUCGGUCAACAGACAGAGCACGUGCCGCAUGUAAACGAUGCUGUUAUGGCAUAAAACAGGAAGUAAUGUCACCUGCCUGGAUGAACAGCUCACUCUGCUAGCUUGUCACCACAUUAGCAUUAGCUGCUCUGUUUCGACAAUGUUUGGCUGAAAAUACGUUCAUGCCGGCUGAAAUUCAACUGUACUGUUUUGACGGGAGACACAGUGACUUCAACCAAUGGUUACCAAAGAUCUGUCUGCAAACCUCACAACCCCCACCCACCCGGCCUCCACCCGGCCUGCGGCAGAGUUGAGGUGGAUGAUGAAAGGAUGUUUGUGUCUGUGGUGAUGAAGCACAGUGCAGGUGAGGUGAAGCUUCCUCUGCAAAGAGCCCCAGGCAGACCUGCCUCGCCCAGAGUCAGACCAGAGCGAGCCUACGGCCAGAUGCACACACAGUGGAAAAAAGGGGAGUGAUCCUCGGCCUGGAAAUGUGAGGUGAGACAGAGAAAGCUAAUCUGAGCAAAAAAAAAAAUAAAUAAAUAGAAGAAUGACGAUGGACCUGUGGCCUUGAAAGCUGGAGUGUGUGUUAGGCUUCUUUAUAACUUUUGA
Molecule: long non-coding RNA, 676 nt
Organism: Epinephelus fuscoguttatus (brown-marbled grouper)
Lineage: Eukaryota; Metazoa; Chordata; Actinopteri; Perciformes; Serranidae
Exons: 3
Source: RefSeq, a predicted model, not a curated record